This 1355-nucleotide long non-coding RNA is filed under the name Marmota monax (woodchuck). The record is from RNAcentral. Lineage: Eukaryota; Metazoa; Chordata; Mammalia; Rodentia; Sciuridae.
CUUUCCCAAAAUGUCUCUGGGUUUCAGGGAGAUUUUGAUGAGAUUGUGAGAGAUGGGGCAGCGAGUUCAUUCACUCUCUGGGUCAGUAAACAAGUAUUGCUUAAUCUAUUUUGUGUCAGGCACUGAGAUAAGUAUGAAGGAUUCAGAAACCAACCAGACUAGCAGUUUCUUAAAGCCCGACAACCUAUCUGUCUUGUUGGGCACAUGUCAUAUUUAAAUAACUCAAAUAAUUAUAGUUUAGGAAAAGUCCUAAGAAAGAAAAAAAAAUCAAGGUAACAGAGCUUUGGGAGCCAGGGAAUGUGGGAUAGAGUGUUCGUCUCUGAAGAGCAGCAGACAAUGAAGCUGAGAAUCCACGGCAGAAAUGACUUAGAUGUGUGAGAGGCCAUAGGGAACAGAGUGCAAAGGCCCUGGGGCAGGAAGGGGCUUGGCGGGUUCAGCCUGGUGAGCUGGCUGUGGAAAGCCAGGGAAGAACAAUGUGAGAUGAGAUUGGAGAGUGGGUUAGGGGUCAGCUAUGGCCCUGAGGGUCCUGAACAGGGGUUCAGGUUUUGUUCCAAGUACAGUGGAGCAGUCCUUGGAAGCUUUCAGAUGGAAGAAAAAUGAUCAUAUCAGCUUCCUACAAAACCCACUUUGGCUGCUGUGUGGAGACUAAGUCAGAGGGGGCAGAGCAGAGGCAGGUAAGGAGGCCUCCUGUGUGGAGGGAGGCUCCACGGGCAGUACUGAUGCCCACCCUGCCCUGCUGGGCUGCUGGGCUUCUGAAUCCACAUGGGCAAUUGCACUUGGUGGACAUGAAACAGAGCUCCUGCUGACCUUGACGGUCUGAUGGUCUGGCUUCUCCCCACCUUCUGCAGGUCAAGUGGCCACAGAAUGGCCUCUGACCUCCUCCAGUGCUUAGAUCCUCAAGGACACACAUACAUUGCACAGGAAGGAAGAGGUCACUUCAGAGGCCACACCUACCACAGGCUCCCCUGACCCCCACUCUCCGCAGGGGCGUUCGGUGACUUGCUCCAUCUUAGCUCUCACAGGGGACAAUGGUGUCCUCUGGCAACACCUGCAGGUCCCUGGUCUUCACGAGGUGGGGAGGGCAGGUGUGACUGACAUCUGCUGGGUCAAAGUCAGAGAUGCCGCUGAGCGUCAUGUCACGCUCAGGACAAGUCCCUGACACAAAGAAUGGUUGGCACCAGGUGUCAAUAGUGACCAGGGCUCAGAAGCAGGACCCCAACCAUGCAGGCAGGCCCUCGGUUGACGUGUGGUGACUCGAUCCCGGUUCAUUUUUUACAGCAGGGCUACGUAAGAUGGAUACUUUUAUUACCCCAGAGGACAGAGGGGGAAACUGAGACCCCCCUGGGCAAAGCAAC